This 460-nucleotide ribosomal RNA is filed under the name uncultured bacterium. Its description in RNAcentral is "partial 16S ribosomal RNA". It matches the Rfam family "Bacterial small subunit ribosomal RNA", at positions 338 to 795 of the family's 1533-position model. The record is from RNAcentral.
CCUACGAGUGGCAGCAGUGAGGAAUAUUGGUCAAUGGACGAGAGUCUGAACCAGCCAAGUAGCGUGAAGGAUGACUGCCCUAUGGGUUGUACACUUCUUUUAUAAAGGAAUAAAACGAGGCACGUGUGCCUUUUUGCAUGUACUUUAUGAAUAAGGAUCGGCUAACUCCGUGCCAGCAGCCGCGGUAAUACGGAGGAUCCGACCGUUAUCCGGAUUUAUUGGGUUUAAAGGUCGCGUAGAUGGGUUGUUAAGUAAGUUGUGAAAGUUUGCGGCGCAACCGUAAAAUUGCAAUUGAUACUGGCAGUCUUGAGUACAGUUGAGGUAGGCGGAAUUCGUGGUGUAGCGGUGAAAUGCUUAGAUAUCACGAAGAACCCCGAUUGCGAAGGCAGCUUACUAAACUGUGACUGACAUUGAUGCUCGAAAGUGUGGGUAUCAAACAGGAUUAGAUACCCUAGUAGUC